Molecule: ribosomal RNA, 268 nt
Filed under: uncultured bacterium
Lineage: Bacteria
Description: partial 16S ribosomal RNA
Rfam family: Bacterial small subunit ribosomal RNA
Source: RNAcentral
GCAAGUCGCACGAGAACGCUUCAGCUUGCUGAAGUUAGUAAAGUGGCGCACGGGUGAGUAACGCGUGGGUAAUCUUCCCCCGAAUUGGGGAUAACAUUGCGAAAGCGAUGCUAAUACCGGAUAAUAUCUCAAGCACUCAGGUGCCUGAGAUCAAAGGUGGCCUCUACAUGUAAGCUACUGUUUGGGGAUGAGCCCGCGUACCAUUAGCUUGUUGGUAGGGUAAUGGCCUACCAAGGCUGCGAUGGUUAGCUGGUCUGAGAGGAUGAUC